UGUAGCAUCUAGGCAAUCUUGACUAAUGUUGAAAAAACCAAAUCAAGUCAAGACUAGUACUAUUUGGAUGGAAAACCACCAUGAAACCUCAGGGCUGCUACCU
RNAcentral lists this ribosomal RNA (103 nucleotides) under Notechis scutatus (mainland tiger snake). Lineage: Eukaryota; Metazoa; Chordata; Lepidosauria; Squamata; Elapidae. The record is from RNAcentral.